CCUACGGGGGGCAGCAGUGAGGAAUAGUGGUCAAUGGCCGGAAGGCUGAACCAGCCAAGCCGCGUGAAGGACGAAGGUGCCAAGCAUUGUAAACUUCUUUUGUCAAGGGACAAAGAAAGUGACGGUACCGGUUGAAUAAGUCACGGCUAACUACGUGCCAGCAGCCGCGGUAAUACGUAGGUGGCAAGCGUUAUCCGGAUUUACUGGGUGUAAAGGGCGUGUAGGCGGGAGAGCAAGUCAGACGUGAAAUUCCAGGGCUCAACCCUGGAACUGUGUUGGAAACUGUUCUUCUUGAGUGCUGGCGAGGCAGGCGGCCUUCCGUGUGUAGCGGUGAAAUGCGUAGAUAUACGGAGGAACACCAGUGGCGAAGGCGGCCUGCUGGACAUUAACUGACGCUGAGGCGCGAACGCGUGGGGAGCAAACAGGAUUAGAUACCCUAGUAGUC
RNAcentral lists this ribosomal RNA (445 nucleotides) under uncultured bacterium. Its description in RNAcentral is "partial 16S ribosomal RNA". It matches the Rfam family "Bacterial small subunit ribosomal RNA", at positions 338 to 795 of the family's 1533-position model. The record is from RNAcentral.